AACAUUCUUCUCUCCCAGUUUUAGCUGGAUUGAUAGUGUACCCUUCCACAUGUCGCUUCUCUGCUCUCCUUCUGGAUAAUGAGAGAGGACUUCCAAAACUGUUUUAGAAUGUGGCAAAGAAAACGGGGUGGAUUGGGAUGAGGAAACAGUGGAUAUCUAGUACCUGUGGCAGCUGGAUGAUAUCAGGAUGUUAAUAAUUAUACAGAUUAUAAAGUUAUUUAAAACUGCUCUGGAAAAAAGAAAACAACAUGUUCAGGACAGCCAACUUUCAACCUGAGAGUGUAUGCGGUAUAAUCAGUUCCUCCCCCAUUGUUACUGAUAAACAGGCUCUCCAACCAACG
This 341-nucleotide long non-coding RNA is filed under the name Fukomys damarensis (Damara mole-rat). Its description in RNAcentral is "lncRNA (ENSFDAG00000028871.1)". The record is from RNAcentral. Lineage: Eukaryota; Metazoa; Chordata; Mammalia; Rodentia; Bathyergidae.